RNAcentral lists this transfer RNA (86 nucleotides) under Acidobacteriota bacterium. RNAcentral describes it as "Acidobacteria bacterium (activated sludge metagenome) tRNA-Leu". It matches the Rfam family "tRNA". From Rfam's summary of the family: Transfer RNA (tRNA) molecules are approximately 80 nucleotides in length. Their secondary structure includes four short double-helical elements and three loops (D, anti-codon, and T loops). RNAcentral also lists the same sequence under 1 other name. The record is from RNAcentral. Lineage: Bacteria; Pseudomonadati; Acidobacteriota.
GCCGGGGUGGCGAAACUGGCAGACGCAUCGGACUUAAAAUCCGAAGGCCCGGAAGGGCCGUGCGGGUUCGAUCCCCGCCCCCGGCA